Molecule: long non-coding RNA, 959 nt
Filed under: Apteryx owenii (little spotted kiwi)
Lineage: Eukaryota; Metazoa; Chordata; Aves; Apterygiformes; Apterygidae
Description: lncRNA (ENSAOWG00000000093.1)
Source: RNAcentral
GACACUUUAGCCUGUUGUCCUCCUGAAUUUAAUGCCAGGCCUGCCUGGCAAUGAGUCUGUUUGCUUUGCUGGAGGUAUGGUAGCAGAGGACCUGGACCUGGCCCAGUGUCCUCUUUCAGGCACUCCAGCUGGGGCACUUUUCAUGGCUUUCUUUGUCAGGGASAGUAUGAAGGAACAGAGGUGACAGCUCUAGGGAGUCACAGUUUUCUUUGGGCUUGUUUUAAACAACAGAUCAGGGUGCAGAAUCCCCUAAAGCAGAGCUGUCUCUAUGGAACAGGCUCAUCACCAUGAACAGACAUCGAUGGACUUCAGAUAAGCCUCACGUCCUAGGAAGCUUGAUGCAACUGGGAAGGGAAGAGGAGUCUCCUUUGAACGCGGUUGCUGAUGGACCCGCAGCACCGGUUCUCCCCCUCCUGCCUGCAAAACCCUCUGAUGUGGUCCCUGUCUACAGGUUUCCUGAAAACAGAGCAGAAGAAACCAUUGGCUACUUCGGGAGAAGCCAGGUAGAGCUGGGAGCAAAUGGCGCAGGAACCCCCAGAGAAGGCUGAGAUCCCGCUCCUCGGAGAGAUGGGGGAGCAGCCCCCGGCGGGUUGCCCCACGUCGGCGGCCCCCUGGCACCCUGCCCGGAGGAGAGAGCGGCGCUUCUCCUUCGCUCCCCGCCGCGGUGCUGUCUGCGCCCUGACAGCCCUUCAGCUCCAGCUUUUUCCUCUGCUUUCCCGUGUUUCUCUUUAAUGAACGUACCAUGAUUCCCCCAUUUCUCCCCUUCCUGUUCCAUGGAGAAGGAGCUAUAAGUCUCACUGGACUGACUGGCACGGCCUCGGUUUGGUUUGAAUUUGUUCAGAUUAAGCAUUUAAUGUGAAUAGCUUGUGCUUGCUUCUCCCUCUGAUUCUUCCCUUUCUCUUAUUCAACAGUUCUGUGUUGAAUUAUUUUUCCUCCUCCUUUUCUCCGCCUCUCCUUCU